AGGAUUAACGCUGGCGGCGUGCCUAACACAUGCAAGUCGAACGAGGUAGCAAUACCUAGUGGCAGACGGGUGAGUAACGCGUGGUCAACCUACCGUUGAGUGGGGGAUAACUAGCCGAAAGGUUAGCUAAUACCGCAUACGAGUUUCGGGGGCAUCCCUGAUUCUUAAAAGGAGCAAUCCGCUCGAUGACGGGACCGCGUCCCAUUAGCUAGAUGGUGGGGUAACGGCCUACCAUGGCACCGAUGGGUAGCUGGUUUGAGAGAGCGACCAGCCACACUGGGACUGAGAAACGGCCCAGACUCCUACGGGAGGCAGCAGUGAGGAAUUUUCCGCAAUGGGCGAAAGCCUGACGGAGCGACGCCGCGUGUGGGAAGAAGGCCUUCGGGUCGUAAACCACUGUCGAAGGGGACGAUAAUGACGGUACCCUUGGAGGAAGCCCCGGCUAACUACGUGCCAGCAGCCGC
This 464-nucleotide ribosomal RNA is filed under the name uncultured bacterium. RNAcentral describes it as "SSU rRNA". It matches the Rfam family "Bacterial small subunit ribosomal RNA", at positions 26 to 518 of the family's 1533-position model. The record is from RNAcentral.